Molecule: long non-coding RNA, 2278 nt
Organism: Gallus gallus (chicken)
Lineage: Eukaryota; Metazoa; Chordata; Aves; Galliformes; Phasianidae
Exons: 2
Source: RefSeq, a predicted model, not a curated record
CCAAGACUAAAGUAUGACUGAUGGAUCACAGUGGGACACAGCGGUGGGACUGUGACCCAGGGGACACACAGUAACACCCAGCACCUGCUCAGAGGGACCACCUGGGCCCCAAUUUCUUCCUCAUCUGGUCUUAACUCCCUGUUUCCCACCUGCAACCGCUUAAAAUCAUAGAAUCAUUCAGAUGAGAAAAGACCUCUGACAUCACCAAGUCCAACCCCAACCCAUCCCCAUCACUGACCACAUCCCUCAGUGCCACAUCUCCAUGGUUCUGUAACACCUCCAGGGAUGCUGACUUCACCACCUCCCUGGGCAGCCCAACCCAAUGCAUUACCACCCUUUCAAAGAAGAAUUUUUUUCCUAAUAUCCAACCUGAAACACCUCUCCUCAAGGUAAAGAAGACAAUCAUUUCUUCCCCGAGAGCUCAAAGGCAGAGGGAAGACAGACCUGAGAGAUAUAGCACAAUGCUGUGGAUGAAUCCCAACACAGAAACCCUGGGAUUUGGGCCCCAUCCCAAGCUCUGGCUCUAGUAGAUACUCCGACCAUGAGAGGCACAGCAUGAAGGUCUCCUUGGCCCAGCUCAGCCCUCCCCCAGCUUUGGGGAGACAGAGGGCACGAGGGGAAGAACGCCACUAUUCCUGAAAGGAGAGAGGAGGUGCACAAGAGAAGGAACCCAGCAGAACAGUGCUUGGAGCCCCACACCUGACAUUUGUUUCAAAUAUAUCCAUUAUAUUAUAUAUUUAAUUCAUAUCCACUCGUGGCCUAUAGCCAGCUGCUCAAAUACUCGUCAAGAGUUGACUAAUUCCCCGACAUUAUUAUGCAGAUUAUCCCUCAAUCUCUCUUGGGUAGCUCCAUUUUAUGACUUCAGCUGGGCGUUAGGGAAAAGCUGACGGGCAGGGCCCAGUGAUGCCUCCAACCCUGGCAUGGUGCAGUAGAUGGGGCAGCGCAGGUAUUGCCAUUGGUAAGGGCUAGGGGCUGAGCUGCUUGCCCUAAGGGACCAGACCAUCCUUUGCAUCUGCAGGAGCCUGGAUGGGGUGUCCCCACCACACAAUUGUGGUUUAGACAGCUUCUAGUUAGGGGAUCUGGGAGUAUUUUCCCUAAGGUCAUAUCAAGGGAUGAUGUCCCCUGCAGCACAGGGCAUGGCUUCCUUGCCAGACUCACCCAAGACUUCUACUCAACCGAGUCCCUGCAAUCAGCAGCCCUGAUUGAUGCUGCCCUUCUCUCCAGCGCACUAAUUGUUGACUUGGGUCUUUCCUUGUUAAGGUUACAGUAAUUAUAGACCAUUAGGAAGUGCUCAGUGGACCACGGUGACACACGGAACAGAUGCCAAAUCAAGAAGGCUCCCAGAGCAUCUAUUAAAUGUCUGCCCGUGACUGCAGAGAGCUGGUUCACGACCCACGUGGUCCUCUCCAGCUCUAACAGAACGCAUCUGUAUGGCAGAACUGGGAAUGGAAACUUGCUAUUCUCAUACCAAAAGCCCAGGCCUCCACCCAGAGCUUUCUCAGGCAGGUUUCACCAUCCUGCCUUUCACUUUGUGAGCCACACAGGCUGACCGGUCUGGGACUGGGACAGCCAGAGUCCUGCAAUCCACAAGGAACUAGCAGCCCUGAGCUCCAGCACAAACAGCAUCUGAACACAGAUGAUGUGCUUUCCUGGAGCCCCAGGGAUGACAUCAGAUAGGUUCCUUGAUGAGCUCACAUAUACCCCGUCAGCACAGGGAAGGGCUGACCUACCGAGCACCCCGUGCAUUGGUAUGCUCAGCAGCUGGCACAGGCAAAUGUUCUACCAGAAGUUCUGAUGAGUCUCCAGCCCGCUCUGACACCAGUGUUAAUGAAGUCAGACCCUGUGAUCCAGGGCUCCUGCCAGCCACAAAACGUCACCAGGAAAUAGCGUUGAACCAACACGGCGCUGCUGCAGUCCUUGCAAGCCCUCAUCCAGAGCAUUUCCACUUUGAAGUUGGGAACAACCGUGGCGAACUGUACCGCAAUCACUGCUGUUACCUUGCGGGCCCAGAGACACCGUGUUCAGAGACAUAACAGUGGAGCAGUGCCAGACACAAUGUUACUGGGACAGCUACAGAGAGGCAGACCCAGGCAUCAGGGAGCACACAAACCUCCCAGCCUUUGAGUCACCGGAGCCAUGCCGCAGGAACAAUCCAGCCCUGCUCCCAGUGGAAGGGAUUGCAUCCUCCCUCACCAUCCCUUCCCUGUUAUAUCUGGACUUUUCCUCCUCGCAGUAGGAGCUGCGGUCCAAGAAUCAAUAGGAGGCUUGGCAACACGCU